RNAcentral lists this ribosomal RNA (250 nucleotides) under uncultured bacterium. RNAcentral's name for it is "partial 16S ribosomal RNA". It matches the Rfam family "Bacterial small subunit ribosomal RNA", at positions 524 to 774 of the family's 1533-position model. RNAcentral also lists the same sequence under 1 other name. The record is from RNAcentral.
UACGUAAGGACCGAGCGUUGUCCGGAAUCAUUGGGCGUAAAGGGUACGUAGGCGGCUAGAAAAGUUAGAAGUCAAAGGCUAUAGCUCAACUAUAGUAAGCUUCUAAAACUAUUUAGCUUGAGAAAUGGAAGGGAAAGUGGAAUUCCUAGUGUAGCGGUGGAAUGCGCAGAUAUUAGGAAGAAUACCGGUGGCGAAGGCGACUUUCUGGCCAUUAUCUGACGCUGAGGUACGAAAGCGUGGGUAGCAAACA